Molecule: ribosomal RNA, 475 nt
Filed under: uncultured bacterium
Lineage: Bacteria
Description: bacterial SSU rRNA
Rfam family: Bacterial small subunit ribosomal RNA
Source: RNAcentral
GACGAACGCUGGCGGCGUGCCUAACACAUGCAAGUCUACUCAGCAAUGGGUGGCGAACGGGUGAGUAACGCGUAGACAAUCUGCCCUUUAAUCACGGAUAACCUAGUGAAAACUGGACUAAAACGGGAUGUGGUCGCGAUAUGGCAUCAUAUGCGAUCAAAGACGUAGUCGUUAAAGGAGGAGUCUGCGUAACAUUAGCUAGUUGGUAAGGUAACGGCUUACCAAGGCGACGAUGUUUAGCUGGUCUGAGAGGAUGAUCAGCCACACUGGGACUGAGAUACGGCCCAGACUCCUACGGGAGGCAGCAGUGAGGAAUAUUGCACAAUGGGGGCAACCCUGAUGCAGCAACGCCGCGUGUACGAUGACACAGUUUAUCUGCGUAAAGUACUGUUAACCGGGACGAAAAGAUGCAUGGACUGCAUUUAUAUGACGGUACCGGUAGAGGAAGCUCCGGCUAACUCCGUGCCAGCAGCCG